This 72-nucleotide transfer RNA is filed under the name Aquilonastra yairi. RNAcentral describes it as "tRNA-Ala". It matches the Rfam family "tRNA". Rfam says of the family: Transfer RNA (tRNA) molecules are approximately 80 nucleotides in length. Their secondary structure includes four short double-helical elements and three loops (D, anti-codon, and T loops). Lineage: Eukaryota; Metazoa; Echinodermata; Asteroidea; Valvatida; Asterinidae. The record is from RNAcentral.
GUAGAUUUAGUUAAAAAGAAAGAACGUUUGAUUUGCAAUCAAAAAGUCUAAGUUUAAACCUUAGAAUCCACA